GGCUAAUGCUAGCGGUGCGCCCAACACAUGCAAGCCGAGCGGUAUUUAUUCUUCGGAAUAGAGAGAGCGUCGUACGGGAGCGGGACACGUGUGCAACCUGCCUUUAUCAGGGGGAUAGCCUUUCGGAAGGACGAUUAAUACCUCAUAAUACAUCUGAUGGAAUCAUGAGAAAUUGAUAACUCCGGUUGAUAGAGAUCGGCACGCGCGAGAUUAGAUAGUUGGUGAGGUAACGGCUCACCAAGUCAGUGAUCUUUAGGGGGCCUGAGAGGGUGAUCCCCCACACUGGUACAGAGACACGGACCAGACUCCUACGGGAGGCAGCAGUGAGGAAUAUUGGACAAUGGGUGCGAGCCUGAUCCAGCCAUCCCGCGUGAAGGACGACGGUUCUAUGGAUUGUAAACUUCUUUUAUACUGGGAUAAACCUACCCUCGUGAGGGUAGCUGAAGGUACAGUAUGAAUAAGCACCGGCUAACUCCGUGCCAGCCGCCGCCGUAA
Molecule: ribosomal RNA, 495 nt
Filed under: uncultured bacterium
Lineage: Bacteria
Description: partial 16S ribosomal RNA
Rfam family: Bacterial small subunit ribosomal RNA
Source: RNAcentral